Molecule: ribosomal RNA, 254 nt
Filed under: uncultured bacterium
Lineage: Bacteria
Description: partial 16S ribosomal RNA
Rfam family: Bacterial small subunit ribosomal RNA
Source: RNAcentral
GACAGAGGGUGCAAACGUUGCUCGGAAUUACUGGGCGUAAAGGGCGUGUAGGCGGGAAGGCAAGUCGGGCGUGAAAUCCCCAGGCUCAACCUGGGAACUGCACUCGAAACUGCCUUUCUUGAGUGUCGGAGAGGAAAGCGGAAUUCCUGGUGUAGAGGUGAAAUUCGUAGAUAUCAGGAGGAACACCAGUGGCGAAGGCGGCUUUCUGGACGAUAACUGACGCUGAGACGCGAAAAGCGUGGGGAGCAAACAGG